Long non-coding RNA from Cyprinus carpio (common carp), 1105 nucleotides. RefSeq lists it as uncharacterized. Lineage: Eukaryota; Metazoa; Chordata; Actinopteri; Cypriniformes; Cyprinidae. The transcript is spliced from 3 exons. The record is from RefSeq and is a predicted model, not a curated record.
ACAGCUCUGAUAUAAAACCUUUUUCUCUCUCUUAGUACUGAUAUGAUGACAUGACAUUUGUUCUGUUUAUAUCUUCAUGUAUGUGUAAUGGACACACUAGAUCAUUAUGAUGAUGUCAUCAUUAUUGGACAGAACUUUCAAGGUGUAACGAAGGGAGAUCAGGAGGAGUAUGAUGAUGUGAAGAACGGCAAUGAAGAUGAGAGAAACCUGUUAGACUAUGAUGUGGGGGAUGAGUCAAAUAAAGAAGGAGGGGCAAUAUGACUCAAUGACCACACCCUCUGCCUCUGUUCAUGAAAUCAUAUUACAGUUACUGGAGCUGCUGAGAGCUUCUCAUUUUGCUAAUGCAUCAGUGCCUUAUGUUUUUAUGUUAUUUUAAAUAUUUUUGUAUGAAAAGUUAGAAAUUCAGUAUCAACAAAUUUUAAUAUUUGUAUUUUAGCAUUUGGUCUUUUAUUAUUAUUUUGAUAUCAAUGCUUUUCACCUAAUAAACAAAAGAUAUCAUUCCAACAUCAUGUCACAAAAAUACUUGAGUGGUUGGAGAAAAUAAGAAAAAUAUGCUAUAAAUGUUUAAGAAAGUAUUUUUAGGCACUACUGUACUGCAUUAUUUACCUAAAUGUAAUGAUAAAAAUAGAUUUACCACAUAAUAGAUUUUAUAAAGCUUCAUGUUUUUCCAUAAGCUUACUGUCAUAGCAUUAGUUCUGUACUGUCAUCUUGAAUUAACUUAAGAGUAUAAUUAAAUAUUUUAUUUACAAGAAAUAUUACUGUGAAAGAAAAAGGUACACAUCCUUGAGGUCAGAAAAAAAAACCCAACCCAAACUGCAGUUUAUUGUGUGAUUAUAGUCUGAUUUUAUGGAUGAUACUGAAUUAUUUGCACUGAGCUUCAUCUUUUGCAGCAACAGCUCCAUAUGCAGGUUAAGGUUGGGCUGACCCUUUUUGUUGGUUUUUCUUUUCAACAACUGAUAUGUUGCUGUUUUCUUCUCCUUGUAUUUCUUCCUCCUCUCGCUGAGCUUUGUCUUUCAAGAAUUCCUACACAGACACACAUAAUAAAACAUGCAUCAAUCAUUUGCCAAAGAUUUACAGGAUGAUUAAACUGUGUAUGUUUACAUGA